UUACGGCAAUAAAUAUUGAUUAUAAUUCUCAACACGUCCGAUGGAAAAACAUGCAUUCGCACUUUCAUUGGAUUAUACCGCGUCAUAUAUCUACCCUAAGUACCUACAAUAUGUUUGAUUAAAAUAUAGUUACGUGCUUUAGUAUAUUUUAUGAUAUAACAACAAUGCUUUAAUUUUAUUCGAAAUUUAUUCAAGACCUCGCCGACUUUAUAAUGUAAACACUCUCGUAAAUCUAUCUGAUCGUUCGUUUUACUGCACUUGCACUUGUUCGAUAUCGGAUAAAAAAAAAUAAAAUAAAACAAAACCGUUCAAACAAGGUGAUAAAUUGUUUAGAAAUAGACGGUACCUAUUUCAUUCGUUCAUCAAUCUUAAAUAAUGUUUGUUAAGCGUUGGAUGCA
Non-coding RNA from Cinara cedri, 398 nucleotides. The record is from the annotation of a GenBank genome assembly. NCBI's taxonomy places the organism in Eukaryota, Metazoa, Arthropoda, Insecta, Hemiptera, Aphididae.